GGGGAUUUGGCUCAGUGGUAGAGCACUUGCCUAGCAAGCGCAAGGCCCUGGGUUCAGUCCCCG
Molecule: transfer RNA, 63 nt
Filed under: Rattus norvegicus (Norway rat)
Lineage: Eukaryota; Metazoa; Chordata; Mammalia; Rodentia; Muridae
Rfam family: tRNA
About the family: Transfer RNA (tRNA) molecules are approximately 80 nucleotides in length.
Source: Rfam by way of RNAcentral